UACGGAGGGGGCUAGCGUUGUUCGGAAUUACUGGGCGUAAAGCGCGCGUAGGCGGCUAUUUAAGUCAGGGGUGAAAGCCCGGAGCUCAACUCCGGAACUGCCUUUGAGACUGGAUAGCUAGAAUCUUGGAGAGGCGAGUGGAAUUCCGAGUGUAGAGGUGAAAUUCGUAGAUAUUCGGAAGAACACCAGUGGCGAAGGCGGCUCGCUGGACAAGUAUUGACGCUGAGGUGCGAAGGCGUGGGGAGCAAAC
RNAcentral lists this ribosomal RNA (250 nucleotides) under uncultured bacterium. RNAcentral describes it as "partial 16S ribosomal RNA". It matches the Rfam family "Bacterial small subunit ribosomal RNA", at positions 524 to 773 of the family's 1533-position model. The record is from RNAcentral.